RNAcentral lists this ribosomal RNA (460 nucleotides) under uncultured bacterium. RNAcentral's name for it is "partial 16S ribosomal RNA". It matches the Rfam family "Bacterial small subunit ribosomal RNA", at positions 338 to 795 of the family's 1533-position model. The record is from RNAcentral.
CCUACGGGUGGCAGCAGUGAGGAAUAUUGGACAAUGGACGAGAGUCUGAACCAGCCAAGUAGCGUGAAGGAUGACUGCCCUAUGGGUUGUAAACUUCUUUUAUAAAGGAAUAAAACGAGGCACGUGUGCCUUUUUGCAUGUACUUUAUGAAUAAGGAUCGGCUAACUCCGUGCCAGCAGCCGCGGUAAUACGGAGGGUCCGAGCGUUAUCCGGAUUUAUUGGGUUUAAAGGGAGCGUAGAUGGGUUGUUAAGUCAGUUGUGAAAGUUUGCGGCUCAACCGUAAAAUUGCAAUUGAUACUGGCAGUCGUGAGUACAGUUGAGGUAGGCGGAAUGCGUGGUGUAGCGGUGAAAUGCUUAGAUAUCACGAAGAACCCCGAUGGCGAAGGCAGCUUACUAAACUGUGACUGACAUUGAUGCUCGAAAGUGUGGGUAUCAAACAGGAUUAGAUACCCCGGUAGUC